GAUGAAGAACGCAGCGAAAUGCGAUAAGUAAUGUGAAUUGCAGAAUUCAGUGAAUCAUCGAAUCUUUGAACGCAUCUUGCGCUCCUUAGUAUUCUGAGGAGCAUGCCUGUUUGAGUGUCAUUAAAUUCUCAACUACACUGACUUUGAAUUGGUGUGGCUUGGAUUUGGGGGGAAAAUUGUUGUGGGCUUUUUGUAUAGUCUGCUCCCCUGAAAUUGAUUAGCGGUACCUUUGUGGAACUGUCUACAGGUGUGAUAAUUAUCUACAUCUUAGACAUCUGCUGGAAUGCUGCUUUCUAAACCUUACUUGUAUUGACAAUCUUGACCUCAAAUCAGGUAGGACUACCCGCUGAACUUAAGCAUAUCAAUAAGCGGAGGA
RNAcentral lists this unclassified non-coding RNA (376 nucleotides) under soil metagenome. RNAcentral's name for it is "partial contains 5.8S ribosomal RNA, internal transcribed spacer 2, and large subunit ribosomal RNA". The stretch from base 1 to 120 matches the Rfam family "5.8S ribosomal RNA", at positions 35 to 154 of the family's 154-position model. The record is from RNAcentral.